AGGACGAACGCUGGCGGCGUGCUUAACACAUGCAAGUCGAGCGGAAAGGCCCUUCGGGGUACUCGAGCGGCGAACGGGUGAGUAACACGUGAGCAACCUGCCCUUAGCUUCGGGAUAGCUCCGGGAAACCGGAAUUAAUACCGAAUAUGACUUUGGCUGACAUCAGCAGAAGUGGAAAGUUUUUCGGCUAGGGAUGGACUCGCGGCCUAUCAGCUAGUUGGUGAGGUAACGGCCCACCAAGGCGACGACGGGUAGCCGGCCUGAGAGGGCGACCGGCCACACUGGGACUGAGACACGGCCCAGACUCCUACGGGAGGCAGCAGUGGGGAAUAUUGCGCAAUGGGCGAAAGCCUGACGCAGCGACGCCGCGUGGGGGAUGAAUGCCUUCGGGUUGUAAACCCCGUUUCAGCAGGGACGAAGCGAAAGUGACGGUACCUGCAGAGAAGCGCCGGCUAACUACGUGCCAGCAGCCGC
This 474-nucleotide ribosomal RNA is filed under the name uncultured bacterium. RNAcentral's name for it is "SSU rRNA". It matches the Rfam family "Bacterial small subunit ribosomal RNA", at positions 26 to 518 of the family's 1533-position model. The record is from RNAcentral.